CAAUGCACACUUCCUGAGCGCUAAGUGUCCAUCUCAGCCAAAUGUACUGAAGCCCUCAGAACAUCCAAGGAAGGAUGGUUCUCUUCCUAUGUUCAUGGCUGACACUGACAAUUAAAUAUUUCACUGUUUCCCAGAGGCUGGGACCUCAUUUCAGAAUUCUUCUCAAUGUCAGCUUUCCUAUUUCUCUGGCCAUUGACACAUGCUAUUUCAGAACACACCAACCUAAAUCCAUAAAGUCCAAUCAUUUCAAGAGACAAAGCUGAAUAUUUCCAUAUCUAAGUGAUAAUGUCAAAACCAACAUGGAACAUUGCCACAUAAAUGAUCUUUAGAGGGGAUUUCUACACUAUUCACCUUUGGGCUAAAUGUCUGUGAGUUA
RNAcentral lists this long non-coding RNA (376 nucleotides) under Bos taurus (domestic cattle). Its description in RNAcentral is "long non-coding RNA NONBTAT018463". Lineage: Eukaryota; Metazoa; Chordata; Mammalia; Artiodactyla; Bovidae. The record is from RNAcentral.